CGAAUCGCCCUUCGGGGUGCAGAGGCGCGAAAACUUUACAAUGCUGGCAACAGCGAUAAGGGGACCUCGAGUGCCAGGAUACAAUCUUGGCUGUCGUGAUGCCUAAAAAGCAUUACAUAGCAAGGGCCGGGCAAGACCGGUGCCAGCCGCCGCGGUAACACCGGCGGCUCGAGUGGUAACCGCUAUUAUUGGGUCUAAAGGGUCUGUAGCCGGCCGGAUAAGUCUCUUGGGAAAUCCAGCAGCUCAACUGUUGGGCUUCCAGGGGAUACUGUUCGGCUCGAGGCCGGGAGAGGUGAGAGGUACUUCAGGGGUAGGGGUGAAAUCUUGUAAUCCUUGAAGGACCACCAGUGGCGAAGGCGUCUCACCAGAACGGUCCUGACGGCAAGGGACGAAAGCUAGGGGCACGAACCGGAUUAGAUACCCGGGUAGUCCUAGCCGUAAACGAUACUCGCUAGGUGUCGGCCACGGUGCGACCGUGGUCGGUGCCGUAGGGAAGCCGUGAAGCGAGCCACCUGGGAAGUACGGCCGCAAGGCUGAAACUUAAAGGAAUUGGCGGGGGAGCAC
RNAcentral lists this ribosomal RNA (564 nucleotides) under uncultured archaeon. Its description in RNAcentral is "bacterial SSU rRNA". It matches the Rfam family "Archaeal small subunit ribosomal RNA", at positions 314 to 879 of the family's 1478-position model. The record is from RNAcentral.